RNAcentral lists this ribosomal RNA (161 nucleotides) under uncultured bacterium. RNAcentral's name for it is "partial 16S rRNA". It matches the Rfam family "Bacterial small subunit ribosomal RNA", at positions 358 to 511 of the family's 1533-position model. The record is from RNAcentral.
GGAAUCUUCCACAAUGGACGCAAGUCUGAUGGAGCAACGCCGCGUGAGUGAAGAAGGUCUUCGGAUCGUAAAACUCUGUUGUUAGAGAAGAACACGAGUGAGAGUAACUGUUCAUUCGAUGACGGUAUCUAACCAGCAAGUCACGGCUAACUACGUGCCAG